Long non-coding RNA from Carassius carassius (crucian carp), 423 nucleotides. RefSeq lists it as uncharacterized. The transcript has 2 exons. The record is from RefSeq and is a predicted model, not a curated record. NCBI's taxonomy places the organism in Eukaryota, Metazoa, Chordata, Actinopteri, Cypriniformes, Cyprinidae.
UUUUUAGUAACUAUAGCCCAACACUGGUGGACAGACUCUCAUCAAGACUAUUUUUUUCUGAAUAAAUCAUCUCUCCAUUGAUGUGUGAUUUGUUAGGAGGACAAUAUUUGUCUGAGAUACAACUAUUUGAAAAUCUGGGGGAGCAAAAAAAAAAUUAAUAUUGAGAAAAUCAUCUUUACAGUUAGCACUCUUCAGAGAUACUAAAUAUGAUAAUAUUUUGUAAUUAUCAUUUAAAUCUGACUACUUUUCAGGAGAAUGUGAUGGGGUUUCAAAUCAAAAUAUGAUCUGUUAUGAAACAGGGCAUCGAUUUCAUACUCCAGGACAAAGCAUGUUUAUUACACAUUUUGGGAGACACAACAGAUUAAUAGAGAAUAUUUUUCUAUUAAAUAUUACACAUUGUUAUUAAAAUCUUGCAAAUUGUUA